GAUGAAGAACGUAGCGAAAUGCGAUAAGUAAUGUGAAUUGCAGAAUUCAGUGAAUCAUCGAAUCUUUGAACGCACAUUGCGCCCGCCAGUAUUCUGGCGGGCAUGCCUGUCUGAGCGUCAUUUCAACCCUCAUGCCCCUAGGGCGUGGUGUUGGGGAUCGGCCAAAGCCCGCGAGGGACGGCCGGCCCCUAAAUCUAGUGGCGGACCCGUCGUGGCCUCCUCUGCGAAGUAGUGAUAUUCCGCAUCGGAGAGCGACGAGCCCCUGCCGUUAAACCCCCAACUUUCCAAGGUUGACCUCAGAUCAGGAAGGAAUACCCGCUGAACUUAAGCAUAUCAAUAAGCGGAGGA
This 348-nucleotide unclassified non-coding RNA is filed under the name soil metagenome. Its description in RNAcentral is "partial contains 5.8S ribosomal RNA, internal transcribed spacer 2, and large subunit ribosomal RNA". The stretch from base 1 to 120 matches the Rfam family "5.8S ribosomal RNA", at positions 35 to 154 of the family's 154-position model. The record is from RNAcentral.